GACAGAGGGAGCCCGACUCCCGUGCCGUUGGCAUGAGGAAAGUCCCCCCACCGGCCGGACGGGCGACCGGGCACACGCUCGGAGUCGGAGACGGCUGGCUCUGGAACAGCAACGACACCCCCCACCUCGACCCGUGAUUCGUGCGAACCGACCCGUAAGGGAAGGGAGCUAACCCGAUGAGGUUCGACGGGUGGGAACGGAUGGAACGGCGAAUCCUCGCCGGUGCAAGUCCGCGGCCAUUAGGUAGUCCGGCCACGGCCGCAGACGCUGAGCCGAAUGUCGGGACGAACCGAAGGGGGCUUACUCCCCUCAGUC
This 315-nucleotide RNase P RNA is filed under the name Halorubrum alkaliphilum. Its description in RNAcentral is "Archaeal RNase P". It matches the Rfam family "Archaeal RNase P". From Rfam's summary of the family: Ribonuclease P (RNase P) is a ubiquitous endoribonuclease, found in archaea, bacteria and eukarya as well as chloroplasts and mitochondria. Lineage: Archaea; Methanobacteriati; Methanobacteriota; Halobacteria; Halobacteriales; Haloferacaceae. The record is from Rfam by way of RNAcentral.